This 331-nucleotide ribosomal RNA is filed under the name uncultured bacterium. RNAcentral's name for it is "bacterial SSU rRNA". It matches the Rfam family "Bacterial small subunit ribosomal RNA", at positions 31 to 352 of the family's 1533-position model. The record is from RNAcentral.
GAACGCUGGCGGCGUGCUUAACACAUGCAAGUCGAACGGAAAGGCCCUGCUUUUGUGGGGUGCUCGAGUGGCGAACGGGUGAGUAACACGUGAGUAACCUGCCCUUGACUUUGGGGUAACUUCAGGAAACUGGGGCUAAUACCUGAUAGGAGCUCCUGCUGCAUGGGUGGGGGUUGGAAAGUUUCGGCGGUUGGGGAUGGACUCGCGGCUUAUCAGCUUGUUGGGUGGGGUAGUGGCUUACCAAGGUCUGGUACGGGUAGGCCGGCCUGAGGAGGGUGACCGGCCACAGUUGGGACUGAGAUACCGGCCCAGACUCCGUACGGGAGGCAGC